RNAcentral lists this ribosomal RNA (301 nucleotides) under uncultured bacterium. RNAcentral describes it as "partial 16S ribosomal RNA". It matches the Rfam family "Bacterial small subunit ribosomal RNA", at positions 509 to 807 of the family's 1533-position model. The record is from RNAcentral.
CAGUAGCCACGGUAACACGAAGGGUGCAAGCGUUAAUCGGAAUUACUGGGCGUAAAGCGCACGCAGGCGGUCUGUCAAGUCAGAUGUGAAAUCCCCGGGCUUAACCUGGGAACUGCAUUUGAAACUGGCAGGCUAGAGUCUUGUAGAGGGGGGUAGAAUUCCAGGUGUAGCGGUGAAAUGCGUAGAGAUCUGGAGGAAUACCGGUGGCGAAGGCGGCCCCCUGGACAAAGACUGACGCUCAGGUGCGAAAGCGUGGGGAGCAAACAGGAUUAGAUACCCCGGUAGUCCCUGUCUCUUAUAC